UUACCCAGAAUAAUCCGUCGUAGUAGCCAUUUGGCUAGGUGGGAACAACAGAGUUAUUGAGAAUAUACGUGGUAAAGCUACACCUGGGCACGUUGAAUGUU
Molecule: small RNA, 101 nt
Filed under: Ureibacillus endophyticus
Lineage: Bacteria; Bacillati; Bacillota; Bacilli; Caryophanales; Caryophanaceae
Description: EGFOA RNA
Rfam family: EGFOA RNA
Source: RNAcentral